This 1449-nucleotide ribosomal RNA is filed under the name Salmonella enterica subsp. enterica serovar Derby. Its description in RNAcentral is "bacterial SSU rRNA". It matches the Rfam family "Bacterial small subunit ribosomal RNA". RNAcentral also lists the same sequence under 3 other names. The record is from RNAcentral. Lineage: Bacteria; Pseudomonadati; Pseudomonadota; Gammaproteobacteria; Enterobacterales; Enterobacteriaceae.
GCUGACGAGUGGCGGACGGGUGAGUAAUGUCUGGGAAACUGCCUGAUGGAGGGGGAUAACUACUGGAAACGGUGGCUAAUACCGCAUAACGUCGCAAGACCAAAGAGGGGGACCUUCGGGCCUCUUGCCAUCAGAUGUGCCCAGAUGGGAUUAGCUUGUUGGUGAGGUAACGGCUCACCAAGGCGACGAUCCCUAGCUGGUCUGAGAGGAUGACCAGCCACACUGGAACUGAGACACGGUCCAGACUCCUACGGGAGGCAGCAGUGGGGAAUAUUGCACAAUGGGCGCAAGCCUGAUGCAGCCAUGCCGCGUGUAUGAAGAAGGCCUUCGGGUUGUAAAGUACUUUCAGCGGGGAGGAAGGUGUUGUGGUUAAUAACCACAGCAAUUGACGUUACCCGCAGAAGAAGCACCGGCUAACUCCGUGCCAGCAGCCGCGGUAAUACGGAGGGUGCAAGCGUUAAUCGGAAUUACUGGGCGUAAAGCGCACGCAGGCGGUCUGUCAAGUCGGAUGUGAAAUCCCCGGGCUCAACCUGGGAACUGCAUUCGAAACUGGCAGGCUUGAGUCUUGUAGAGGGGGGUAGAAUUCCAGGUGUAGCGGUGAAAUGCGUAGAGAUCUGGAGGAAUACCGGUGGCGAAGGCGGCCCCCUGGACAAAGACUGACGCUCAGGUGCGAAAGCGUGGGGAGCAAACAGGAUUAGAUACCCUGGUAGUCCACGCCGUAAACGAUGUCUACUUGGAGGUUGUGCCCUUGAGGCGUGGCUUCCGGAGCUAACGCGUUAAGUAGACCGCCUGGGGAGUACGGCCGCAAGGUUAAAACUCAAAUGAAUUGACGGGGGCCCGCACAAGCGGUGGAGCAUGUGGUUUAAUUCGAUGCAACGCGAAGAACCUUACCUGGUCUUGACAUCCACAGAACUUUCCAGAGAUGGACUGGUGCCUUCGGGAACUGUGAGACAGGUGCUGCAUGGCUGUCGUCAGCUCGUGUUGUGAAAUGUUGGGUUAAGUCCCGCAACGAGCGCAACCCUUAUCCUUUGUUGCCAGCGGUUAGGCCGGGAACUCAAAGGAGACUGCCAGUGAUAAACUGGAGGAAGGUGGGGAUGACGUCAAGUCAUCAUGGCCCUUACGACCAGGGCUACACACGUGCUACAAUGGCGCAUACAAAGAGAAGCGACCUCGCGAGAGCAAGCGGACCUCAUAAAGUGCGUCGUAGUCCGGAUUGGAGUCUGCAACUCGACUCCAUGAAGUCGGAAUCGCUAGUAAUCGUGGAUCAGAAUGCCACGGUGAAUACGUUCCCGGGCCUUGUACACACCGCCCGUCACACCAUGGGAGUGGGUUGCAAAAGAAGUAGGUAGCUUAACCUUCGGGAGGGCGCUUACCACUUUGUGAUUCAUGACUGGGGUGAAGUCGUAACAAGGUAACCGUAGGGGAACCUGCGGUUGGAUCACCUCCUUA